Cucumis melo (muskmelon) is the source of this 1216-nucleotide long non-coding RNA. RefSeq lists it as uncharacterized. The transcript is spliced from 2 exons. NCBI's taxonomy places the organism in Eukaryota, Viridiplantae, Streptophyta, Magnoliopsida, Cucurbitales, Cucurbitaceae. The record is from RefSeq and is a predicted model, not a curated record.
GCAAAUGACGAAGGUACCUGGGAGCGGCGGAGGAAAGACGCGCGGUUGGAGCACCGCCACUGUGGAUGCGUUGUGUUUUUUAAUGUAAUCGGGUCGGGGAGAACUGUUGGCCGAACCGAACUUGGUUUUUGCAAUUCGAGACAACUCCCUCCUCCAUAACCAAUGGAAUUUGCUCCCGAGCUCAGCCAAAGCCAUGGUACCACUCUCCUUUACUCCACUCAAUUGUUAACACGCGUUUGCAGGGCUUUUUCCAACCUCAAAACCUCUUCAUUCUCAUUCUCCUGAAAUACAUGGAAUCUUAAAUUUUCUUUCAAGGGGAUGGAAUCCCAUUCUCUACAUCUUCCUCAUACUGUCUUCUUAUACCUUCUUCAAAUACAUCAUUAAGAUUCACAUUUUGAAUGCUCCCCGUCCUUGUUUAUUUAGUUGACUUCUCACGCAUCAAACCACCACGUUCUGCAGAAUUCUCACGCAUCAGGCAACAACAAACCAUCAAACCACCAUGUGCUCGAGGAUCUUUCAGAGGCAACAGAUCCUGAUGCUUCUUGAGCAUUUUCAACCGUGUUCCGUCCCAUCGACAGUAUGUAUAUUUUGGGGACGGGAUUAUCCAGGGACGACCUUCAAGCUUAUAACUUGGAAGAGAUAAGAAGAGCCAAGGUUUUCCAUAACAUAUAGUUACCUCGAUCUAGCUUAGUCUAUUAAUUGGAUUGAGGAGCUGAUUCAUGGACGGAUUGUUGAAUUUGGCAACCUCAGGGGCGGCAGAAUUUCCGGCAGUAUUGGCGUUUGAUGCGGGAGAGGUGAAUCAGCCCCAUUUUGUACAAUGGAUGCCCUAAAUUGGAGAAGCAAAGAAGGGUUUUCUAAUUUUGAAAUACAGAUGGCAGCAAGCUAGAGGAUGAAGAAGGAUUCUUCCUUAACAAAUAGAUAACUGAAAUUCCUCCUAUUCCUUCAGACGCGGCUUUUACUCUGACAUGGCACUGCUGAUAUGGGUUGGCAAGCCUCUGUCUCUUUGGGUCCAUCCUUCUUGGCAUUUAUCCUAAUACUCUUUUCCUUGAAAAUGCAACAUUAAUAGAUGUUUUUGACAAUGAAGAGCCUCAGUUUCAUGGCUUAAAAUCUUUCUUCACGUUCAUUAAAACUCAAAUGCUGUUGUAAUUGGUACAGACAUUUUAUCAAAUAGUUGGUAUGCAGGAAAAGAAUACUCCAGGCUAAUCCUUAGUCACUA